This is a long non-coding RNA of Juglans microcarpa x Juglans regia, 298 nucleotides long. RefSeq lists it as uncharacterized. NCBI's taxonomy places the organism in Eukaryota, Viridiplantae, Streptophyta, Magnoliopsida, Fagales, Juglandaceae. The record is from RefSeq and is a predicted model, not a curated record. The transcript is spliced from 2 exons.
GGUGUAGAACUGGGCCGGAUUUUUUCCCAGUCCGGUCCGAAACCCGGAAUCCAAGGCAGUUGAGAGAAACCCGAAUCCGGUUACAGAUCCGGUUUUAUCACCCGGUUAUCCGUAACCGGGUCCCUUUUUUAAAAAAAAAAAAAAAAAAAAAAAAUUCAUGCUUCCAAUUAGUUAUGAUGUGAAGAGUAGCAGCAUUGUAUUAGUAUAAUUAGUCAUGAUGUAUUAUUAUUUAUUUUGUUCUUUGUAAAUUAAUAUUUUGCAUUGUGAUAUAACAACAAUAUUAUUUAUUUAUUUAUUU